UUUUUUGUGAAAAAUCUUGUGUCCGAAUUAGAGAAAGAGACGACGAACGUUUCGAUCGAGAUUUCGAAACGUCGUUUAUAUUUUUCGUUAUUUAAAGCUUCUUUUUUAUUUUUUUUUAAAUUUUUUUUUCUGGGCUAUACAUAUUUUACAAUGUUUAUCGUAUGUGUACGUAGAUACUAUUUCUAUAUUAAACUUUAUAAGCGUAGAUUUUUACCGCGGUAAUUUUUUUUUUUUUUUCAUUAUUAUUACUAUUAUCGAAAGAAACGAGGAAAAGAGAUAGACCGAAAAAUAUAAAAAAAAAAAAAACACUUUCGGAUAUUGUCCGUGCAUAAUAGUAGGCACCCCCAACCACCCUCAACUCCCACCCCCUUCCCAUCCUGAAGUGAUACGCAUAGGAAAACAAAUAUAAUAACAAUGAGAAUAGACAAACGGACGCGGGGCGAUACGCGGAGGUGUUUGUAUAUGAUUUUUACCAUAUUUUUUUUAUUUUUUUUUUAACCCCCUCAAGUCAUUUUUUUUUUUUUUU
Molecule: non-coding RNA, 526 nt
Organism: Cinara cedri
Lineage: Eukaryota; Metazoa; Arthropoda; Insecta; Hemiptera; Aphididae
Source: the annotation of a GenBank genome assembly